GAUGAACGCUAGCGGCAGGCCUAAUACAUGCCAGUCGGACGGGAUUCAGGAGCUUGCUUCUGAUGAGAGUGGCGCACGGGUGCGUAACACGUAUGUAACCUACCUUUAUCAGGGGGAUAGCCUCUCGAAAGAGAGAUUAAGCCCGCAUAAAAUCACAGCACAGCAUUGUGUAAUGAUCAAAUAUUUAUAGGAUAAAGAUGGGCAUGCGGAACAUUAGCUAGAUGGCGGGGUAACGGCCCACCAUGGCGACGAUGUUUAGGGGAUCUGAGAGGAUGGCCCCCCACACUGGUACUGAGACACGGACCAGACUCCUACGGGAGGCAGCAGUAAGGAAUAUUGGUCAAUGGGCGGAAGCCUGAACCAGCCAUGCCGCGUGCAGGAAGACGGCCCUACGGGUUGUAAACUGCUUUUAUACGGGAAGAAACCCAGAUACGGGUAUCUGGCUGAAUGUACUGUAAGAAUAAGGAUCGGCUAACUCCGUG
This 482-nucleotide ribosomal RNA is filed under the name uncultured bacterium. Its description in RNAcentral is "partial 16S ribosomal RNA". It matches the Rfam family "Bacterial small subunit ribosomal RNA", at positions 28 to 507 of the family's 1533-position model. The record is from RNAcentral.